GAUGAACGCUGGCGGCGUGCCUAAUACAUGCAAGUCGAGCGAACAGACGAGGAGCUUGCUCCCCUGACGUUAGCGGCGGACGGGUGAGUAACACGUGAUAACCUACCUAUAAGACUGGGAUAACUUCGGGAAACCGGAGCUCAUACCGGACACUAUCUUCAACCGCAUGGUUCCAUAGUGACAGACGGUUUUGCUGUCACUUAUAAAUGGAUCCCCGCCGCAUUAGCUAGUUGGUAAGGUAACGGCUUACCAAGGCAACGAUGCGUAGCCGACCUGAGAGGAUGAUCAGCCACACUGGAACUGAGACACGGUCCAGACUCCUACGGGAGGCAGCAGUAGGGAAUCUUGCACAAUGGGCGAAAGCCUGACGGAGCAACGCCGCGUGAGUGAAGAAGGUCUUCGGAUCGUAAAGCUCUGUUGUUAGGGAAGAACAGAUGUGUAAGAAACUAUGCACGUCUUGACGGUACCUAAACAGAAAGCCACGGCUAACUACGUG
This 496-nucleotide ribosomal RNA is filed under the name uncultured bacterium. RNAcentral describes it as "partial 16S ribosomal RNA". It matches the Rfam family "Bacterial small subunit ribosomal RNA", at positions 28 to 507 of the family's 1533-position model. The record is from RNAcentral.